RNAcentral lists this ribosomal RNA (253 nucleotides) under uncultured bacterium. Its description in RNAcentral is "partial 16S ribosomal RNA". It matches the Rfam family "Bacterial small subunit ribosomal RNA", at positions 524 to 776 of the family's 1533-position model. The record is from RNAcentral.
UACGGAGGGUGCGAGCGUUGUUCGGAAUCACUGGGCGUAAAGCGCGUGUAGGCGGCUUCUUAAGUCUGGUGUGAAAGCCCGGGGCUUACCCCCGGAAGGGCACUGGAAACUGGGGAGCUGGAGUACCGGAGAGGAGGGUGGAAUUCCUGGUGUAGCGGUGAAAUGCGUAGAUAUCAGGAGGAACACCGGUGGCGAAGGCGGCCCUCUGGACGGAUACUGACGCUGAGACGCGAAAGCGUGGGGAGCAAACAGG